UGAGAACUGACAGGUUCCACUCAUAGA
Molecule: non-coding RNA, 27 nt
Filed under: Mus musculus (house mouse)
Lineage: Eukaryota; Metazoa; Chordata; Mammalia; Rodentia; Muridae
Source: RNAcentral